RNAcentral lists this ribosomal RNA (421 nucleotides) under uncultured bacterium. Its description in RNAcentral is "bacterial SSU rRNA". It matches the Rfam family "Bacterial small subunit ribosomal RNA", at positions 355 to 776 of the family's 1533-position model. The record is from RNAcentral.
UGAGGAAUAUUGCUCAAUGGCCGCAAGGCUGAAGCAGCAACGCCGCGUGAGGGAUGAAGGUUCUAUGAAUCGUAAACCUCUGUAGAAAGGGAGAAAUGUCCGCUUAUGGCGGAUUGAUAGUACCUUUAAAGUAAGCCCCGGCUAACUACGUGCCAGCAGCCGCGGUAAUACGUAGGGGGCAAGCGUUGUCCGGAAUCACUGGGUGUAAAGGGAGCUCAGGCGGAUUUGUAAGUCAGAGGUGAAACUCUGCAGCUUAACUGCAGAACUGCCUUUGAUACUGCAAUUCUAGAGUUCGGGAGAGGGUGAUGGAAUUCAUGGUGUAGCGGUGAAAUGCGUAGAUAUCAUGAAGAACACCAGUUGCGAAGGCGGUCACCUGGCCCGAUACUGACGCUCAAGCUCGAAAGCGUGGGGAGCAAACAGG